This 566-nucleotide ribosomal RNA is filed under the name uncultured bacterium. Its description in RNAcentral is "bacterial SSU rRNA". It matches the Rfam family "Bacterial small subunit ribosomal RNA", at positions 47 to 605 of the family's 1533-position model. The record is from RNAcentral.
GUUUACAAUGCAAGUCGAACGGAAACGAAAAUAGCUUGCUAUUUGGCGUCGAGUGGCGAACGGGUGAGUAACGCGUAGGAAUCUACCCAGUAGAGGGGGAUAGCCCGAAGAAAUUCGGAUUAAUACCGCAUAAUCUCUACGGAGUAAAGAAGGCCUCUUUACAAUGCUUUUACUAUUGGAUGAGCCUGCGUUAGAUUAGUUAGUUGGUAGGGUAAAAGCCUACCAAGGCGACGAUCUAUAGCUGGUUUUACGAGAAUGAUCAGCCACACUGGAACUGAGACACGGUCCAGACUCCUACGGGAGGCAGCAGUGAAGAAUAUUGGACAAUGGGGGAAACCCUGAUCCAGCAAUGUUGCGUGUGUGAAGAAGGUCCGAGGAUUGUAAAGCACCUUCAGUAAGCAAGAAAAAUGUAAAUCUAAUAGAUUUGCAUGUUGACCACUUAUAGAAGAAGCACCGGCUAACUCCGUGCCAGCAGCCGCGGUAAUACGGAGGGUGCGAGCGUUAAUCGGAAUUACUGGGCGUAAAGGGUAAGUAGGCGGUUUAUAAAGUCACAUGUGAAAACCCUA